GGGGGGAAUGUCUAAUUUCUGUGAUGUGUAUUCUGGGGAACCACAAGACUCAGUCCAUUACUAUGACACAUCCUCUUGACCUCCUGGAAUAUGAAUGACAAUAAAAUUGAGAAUAGAAAUGCGGAAUGUGCCAAAGAGACACACAACCCGAACACAGAGCAGACAACAGCAGAAGGUCACCAAUAGGUAAUCAGAAAACAGAAAU
This 205-nucleotide long non-coding RNA is filed under the name Mytilus galloprovincialis (Mediterranean mussel). Lineage: Eukaryota; Metazoa; Mollusca; Bivalvia; Mytilida; Mytilidae. The record is from RNAcentral.